RNAcentral lists this ribosomal RNA (481 nucleotides) under uncultured eukaryote. Its description in RNAcentral is "bacterial SSU rRNA". It matches the Rfam family "Eukaryotic small subunit ribosomal RNA", at positions 335 to 813 of the family's 1831-position model. The record is from RNAcentral.
AGAGGCCCGCCGCGGUAACGACGGGUAACGGGGAAUCAGGGUUCGAUUCCGGAGAGGGAGCCCCGAGAAAACGGCUACCACUUCCAAGGAAGGCAGCAGGCGCGCAACUUACCCCUAAUCUCGAUUCGAGGAGGUAGUGACAAGAAAUACCGAUGCGGGACCCUACGGGUGCCGCGUUCGGAAUGAGUACGAUUCGAACCACCUAACGAGGAACGAUCGGAGGGCAAGUCUGGUGCCAGCAGCCGCGGUAAUUCCAGCUCCAAUAGCGUACGUUAAAGUUGCUGCAGUUAAAAAGCUCGUAGUUGAACGUUCGGGGUUCCGCGGGACGGGGCCGCCCCGCGAGGGACGGCGCCGCCCCGGGGCUCGUGAUAUCUCAUCUCGCCGCCCGUCGCGAGGCGGACGGAGGGAUGGAUGAGGUUACCUGGAAAAAAUCGGGGCGAUCUAGGCGGGCGAACCUCGCCAACGAACGAUCGGACAUGGG